This 486-nucleotide ribosomal RNA is filed under the name uncultured bacterium. Its description in RNAcentral is "bacterial SSU rRNA". It matches the Rfam family "Bacterial small subunit ribosomal RNA", at positions 30 to 517 of the family's 1533-position model. The record is from RNAcentral.
AUUGAACGCUGGCGGCAGGCCUAACACAUGCAAGUCGAGCGGCAGCACUUCGGGUGGCGAGCGGCGGACGGGUGAGUAAUGCUUGGGAACGUGCCGUUAGGUGGGGGACAACAGUUGGAAACGACUGCUAAUACCGCAUAAUCUCUUCGGAGCAAAGAUGGGGCUCGCAAGACCUAUCGCCUAACGAUCGGCCCAAGUGGGAUUAGCUAGUUGGUGAGGUAACGGCUCACCAAGGCGACGAUCCCUAGCUGGUCUGAGAGGAUGAUCAGCCACACUGGGACUGAGGCACGGCCCAGACUCCUACGGGAGGCAGCAGUGGGGAAUAUUGCACAAUGGGCGAAAGCCUGAUGCAGCCAUGCCGCGUGUGUGAAGAAGGCCCUAGGGUUGUAAAGCACUUUCAAUAGGAGGAAAAGCUAGUAGUUAAUACCUAGCUAGCCCUGACGUUACCUAUAGAAGAAGCACCGGCUAACUCCGUGCCAGCAGCCG